This 405-nucleotide ribosomal RNA is filed under the name uncultured bacterium. RNAcentral's name for it is "bacterial SSU rRNA". It matches the Rfam family "Bacterial small subunit ribosomal RNA", at positions 370 to 772 of the family's 1533-position model. The record is from RNAcentral.
AAUGGGCGCAAGCCUGACCCAGCCAUGCCGCGUACAGGAUGAAGGCGCUAUGCGUUGUAAACUGUUUUUGUACAGGAAGAAACCCAUCUACGUGUAGGUGGUUGACGGUACUGUAAGAAUAAGCAUCGGCUAACUCCGUGCCAGCAGCCGCGGUAAUACGGAGGAUGCAAGCGUUAUCCGGAUUCAUUGGGUUUAAAGGGUGCGUAGGCGGAAUACUAAGUCAGUGGUGAAAUCCUGCAGCUUAACUGUAGAACUGUCAUUGAUACUGGUAUUCUUGAAUGCAGCUGAGGUAGGCGGAAUGUGUAAUGUAGCGGUGAAAUGCUUAGAUAUUACACAGAACACCGAUUGCGAAGGCAGCUUACUAAACUGUGAUUGACGCUGAGGCACGAAAGCGUGGGGAGCAAA